GGACCGAACCGACUAAUGUUGAAAAAUUAGCGGAUGACCUGUGGCUGGGGGUGAAAGGCCAAUCAAACCGGGAGAUAGCUGGUUCUCCCCGAAAGCUAUUUAGGUAGCGCCUCGUGAAUUCAUCUCCGGGGGUAGAGCACUGUUUCGGCUAGGGGGCCAUCCCGGCUUACCAACCCGAUGCAAACUGCGAAUACCGGAGAAUGUUAUCACGGGAGACACACGGCGGGUGCUAACGUCCGUCGUGAAGAGGGAAACAACCCAGACCGCCAGCUAAGGUCCCAAAGUCAUGGUUAAGUGGGAAACGAUGUGGGAAGGCCCAGACAGCCAGGAUGUUGGCUUAGAAGCAGCCAUCAUUUAAAGAAAGCGUAAUAGCUCACUGGUCGAGUCGGCCUGCGCGGAAGAUGUAACGGGGCUAAACCAUGCACCGAAGCUGCGGCAGCGACACUGUGUGUUGUUGGGUAGGGGAGCGUUCUGUAAGCCUGUGAAGGUGUGUCGUGAGGCAUGCUGGAGGUAUCAGAAGUGCGAAUGCUGACAUAAGUAACGAUAAAGCGGGUGAAAAGCCCGCUCGCCGGAAGACCAAGGGUUCCUGUCCAACGUUAAUCGGGGCAGGGUGAGUCGACCCCUAAGGCGAGGCCGAAAGGCGUAGUCGAUGGGAAACGGGUUAAUAUUCCCGUACUUGGUGUUACUGCGAAGGGGGGACGGAGAAGGCUAUGUUGGCCGGGCGACGGUU
This 730-nucleotide ribosomal RNA is filed under the name Salmonella enterica subsp. enterica serovar Enteritidis. Its description in RNAcentral is "partial 23S ribosomal RNA". It matches the Rfam family "Bacterial large subunit ribosomal RNA", at positions 771 to 1503 of the family's 2925-position model. Lineage: Bacteria; Pseudomonadati; Pseudomonadota; Gammaproteobacteria; Enterobacterales; Enterobacteriaceae. The record is from RNAcentral.